This 67-nucleotide transfer RNA is filed under the name Marmota monax (woodchuck). RNAcentral's name for it is "tRNA.Glu". Lineage: Eukaryota; Metazoa; Chordata; Mammalia; Rodentia; Sciuridae. The record is from RNAcentral.
GGUUGUAGCUCAGUGGUAGAAUGCUUGCCUCUCAUGCGUGAGGCACUGGGUUUGAUUCUCAGCACCA